This is a long non-coding RNA of Epinephelus fuscoguttatus (brown-marbled grouper), 438 nucleotides long. RefSeq lists it as uncharacterized. Lineage: Eukaryota; Metazoa; Chordata; Actinopteri; Perciformes; Serranidae. The record is from RefSeq and is a predicted model, not a curated record. The transcript is spliced from 3 exons.
AUGCCUUUGAAGUUGAGCUUGAUCUCCUGACAACAAAGAGACUUUCAGCCUGAGAGUCACGGCAGGUAACUUAGUCACCUGUGCCUCUGUUUCACGUGCAGGGCCUGCUGCACCACCUGCGACUUACAGGAGGAAUUAAACGUGUAUUUUAUGCGUGUAUCACUCGACCUGCGUGCGCUCCUGAAGGGAAACACAUCGACUGGCUGUUACAGUAGUCCAUCACAGCAGAGGGAAUGAGGCAGAGGUGAUGACUGUGAAGUUCAUCUAGCAAGGGCAUUCACUUCUGGUAUGCACUGUGCAACCUACGAUGGAGACGUCCUUCAGACCAAGUCUUGAUGCACUUCAUAACAUUGUGCAAGCCAGCAUUGAUAAGAACAAGAACCAGGAUGUUCAUUUGAGCACAGAGGCUGACAUUGUGAGAGGUUAAUGUCAAAGCUG